AGAGUUUGAUCAUGGCUCAGAUUGAACGCUGGCGGCAUGCCUUACACAUGCAAGUCGAACGGUAACAGGUCUUCGGAUGCUGACGAGUGGCGAACGGGUGAGUAAUACAUCGGAACGUGCCCGAUCGUGGGGGAUAACGAGGCGAAAGCUUUGCUAAUACCGCAUACGAUCUACGGAUGAAAGCGGGGGAUCUUCGGACCUCGCGCGGACGGAGCGGCCGAUGGCAGAUUAGGUAGUUGGUGGGAUAAAAGCUUACCAAGCCGACGAUCUGUAGCUGGUCUGAGAGGAUGAUCAGCCACACUGGGACUGAGACACGGCCCAGACUCCUACGGGAGGCAGCAGUGGGGAAUUUUGGACAAUGGGCGAAAGCCUGAUCCAGCCAUGCCGCGUGCAGGAUGAAGGCCUUCGGGUUGUAAACUGCUUUUGUACGGAACGAAAAGCCUCUUUCUAAUAAAGAGGGGUCAUGACGGUACCGUAAGAAUAAGCACCGGCUAACUACGUGCCAGCAGCCGCGGUAAUACGUAGGGUGCAAGCGUUAAUCGGAAUUACUGGGCGUAAAGCGUGCGCAGGCGGUUUUGUAAGACAGAGGUGAAAUCCCCGGGCUCAACCUGGGAACUGCCUUUGUGACUGCAAGGCUGGAGUGCGGCAGAGGGGGAUGGAAUUCCGCGUGUAGCAGUGAAAUGCGUAGAUAUGCGGAGGAACACCGAUGGCGAAGGCAAUCCCCUGGGCCUGCACUGACGCUCAUGCACGAAAGCGUGGGGAGCAAACAGGAUUAGAUACCCCGGUAGUCCAA
This 793-nucleotide ribosomal RNA is filed under the name uncultured bacterium. RNAcentral describes it as "bacterial SSU rRNA". It matches the Rfam family "Bacterial small subunit ribosomal RNA", at positions 8 to 798 of the family's 1533-position model. The record is from RNAcentral.